This 460-nucleotide ribosomal RNA is filed under the name uncultured bacterium. Its description in RNAcentral is "partial 16S ribosomal RNA". It matches the Rfam family "Bacterial small subunit ribosomal RNA", at positions 338 to 795 of the family's 1533-position model. The record is from RNAcentral.
CCUACGGGUGGCAGCAGUGAGGAAUAUUGGUCAAUGGGCGCGAGCCUGAACCAGCCAAGUAGCGUGAGGGAUGACUGCCCUACGGUUUGUACACUUCUUUUGGCAGGGAGUAAUGCCGUGCCCGUGUGCCUUUUUGUAUGUCCUUUAUGAAUAACGAUCGGCUAACUCCGUGCCAGCAGCCGCGGUAAUACGGAGGAUCCGCGCGUUAUCCGGAUUUAUUGGGUUUAAAGGGAGCGUAGAUGGGUUGUUAAGUCAGUUGUGAAAGUUUGCGGCUCAACCGUAAAAUUGCAAUUGAUACUGGCAGUCUUGAGUACAGUAGAGGUAGGCGGAAUUCGUGGUGUAGCGGUGAAAUGCUUAGAUAUCACGAAGAACUCCGAUUGCGAAGGCAGCUUGCUAGACUGCCACUGACGCUGAUGCUCGAAAGUGUGGGUAUCAAACAGGAUUAGAUACCCUUGUAGUC